RNAcentral lists this ribosomal RNA (253 nucleotides) under uncultured bacterium. RNAcentral's name for it is "partial 16S ribosomal RNA". It matches the Rfam family "Bacterial small subunit ribosomal RNA", at positions 524 to 776 of the family's 1533-position model. The record is from RNAcentral.
UACGAAGGGGGCUAGCGUUGCUCGGAAUUACUGGGCGUAAAGCGCACGUAGGCGGCUUUCUAAGUCGGGGGUGAAAUCCUGGAGCUCAACUCCAGAACUGCCUUCGAUACUGGAGAGCUCGAGUCCGGGAGAGGUGAGUGGAACUGCGAGUGUAGAGGUGAAAUUCGUAGAUAUCAGGAGGAACACCGGUGGCGAAGGCGGCUCACUGGCUCAUUACUGACGCUCAGGCGCGAUAGCGUGGGGAUCAAACAGG